Non-coding RNA from Benincasa hispida (wax gourd), 978 nucleotides. NCBI's taxonomy places the organism in Eukaryota, Viridiplantae, Streptophyta, Magnoliopsida, Cucurbitales, Cucurbitaceae. The record is from RefSeq and is a predicted model, not a curated record.
UUCUUCCACAUUUUAUGUUUUUUUAAAUAGAGAACUCUCUUUGGUUCUUCUCCCUAGAAAACACAGAGAAGAAAAUUAAGUUUUCUUCUCCCUCCUCUCUUCCUUUCCUCUCUUUCUCAAAUUCAAGCAAAGUUCACAACUUUUACUUGAAUUCUCAAUCCGAAGAGAAUACAAAAGAUUUUUUUAGUGGUGGUGCCCAUUUUGGGGUUUCAAAUUGGAGUUCGAAGAGUUUAUGAUCCAAAUCGAGGGACUACACGAAGAAGAUUGGCUUCAAUUGGAAUGUGAUAGGUUCUCGUUCGAUCUCAUGGUGGUUCCUCUGUCUCAACUUCUCUUAAGCAGUUUUCACUCUGUAAGUUUUGCCCUUUCUCCUUAAAUGGUUAGUACCAGACAAGGAAUUCACACUUCUGAUAGCAAAUGGUGAGAUACAAAGAAAAGGCCUCGCAGAAGUUGCAUGUUGAAGAGGAUGUUCCUCUUUCCACAAUGAACAAAUAUGAAGUUUGUGUUCCUGGAUUUCCUGUUACAGAAAAAGAAGUUGAAGUUCUUUCUCCGUCAGUGAAAUGAAGGAAUUCUGGUGUUGGUCAACCUACCGAGAUGAAAGGAAAGGAAAAUAAGUUCAUUGUCUCUCACAAUGAUUGAUCUAAUUAGUGCUGGGGUUAAAAUUUUCCCGAAAAAAGAUAAGUCCUUUUCUGAUGAUUCUCCAAGUAACUUGCAUGAGUUUAUAGCAUUGCCUAGAAACCCUAAGGAUAACUUAAGCGUGGUUGUCGAAGAUCAAACUGAAGUUAGUGUUUCUGCGAGUAGGGUUACGAAUGACAAUAACUUUAUUUCUAAUGUUGAAAAUUUUGAAACUAUUCUUCCUGAAUCUGUUGUGGUUAUUGGUGAAAAUGUUGUUUCUGAUACAUUGGAGAAAGAAAAAAGUUAUCUUGCCUGAGUUUGAUGUGAAUGCUUUGCAUGAUUUUGCUAAUAAAGUUGUCUUUGAAA